RNAcentral lists this ribosomal RNA (247 nucleotides) under uncultured bacterium. RNAcentral describes it as "partial 16S ribosomal RNA". It matches the Rfam family "Bacterial small subunit ribosomal RNA", at positions 523 to 769 of the family's 1533-position model. The record is from RNAcentral.
AUACGUAGGGAGCGAGCGUUGUCCGGAAUUACUGGGCGUAAAGGGUGCGUAGGCGGCUUGGCAAGUCAGAUGUGAAAUCCCCGGGCUUAACUCGGGAGUUGCAUUUGAAACUGCUAGGCUUGAGUGCAGGAGAGGAAAGCGGAAUUCCUAGUGUAGCGGUGAAAUGCGUAGAUAUUAGGAGGAACACCAGUGGCGAAGGCGGCUUUCUGGACUGUAACUGACGCUGAGGCACGAAAGCGUGGGGAGC